This 10455-nucleotide unclassified non-coding RNA is filed under the name Leishmania donovani. RNAcentral describes it as "gene:unknown". The record is from RNAcentral. Lineage: Eukaryota; Euglenozoa; Kinetoplastea; Trypanosomatida; Trypanosomatidae.
CUCUUCCACACUUCGCUUUUUUCUUCCCCUCUGUUGUUUCUGACGUUCACCUCUCUUCCUCUCUUCAUUUCGAUUAAACACGCCAAUUGAUGUUAACUGGAAUCACUCUGCGCACAUCCCUUCACCUGUUUGUGUGUGUCUUUCUCUUCUCUCUUGCUUCCCUUCCCUCGUCCGCUUUUUUUUUGAUUUUUCUUGUCUUCGUUAUACUUCUCCCUCCUGCAAACGCGGGGCUGUUCUAUCGCGCAGCACCACAGAAACACGUCUCGACUUCAAAAUGCUUUUUUGUUGUUGUUGUGUAUUUUCAUUCCCGUUGCUCUCUUUUUUCUAUUGUUUUCUCUACACCCCUCUUUCUUGCUUACACUUCUCUUUUCGCAUUUCUGCGCGUGUGUGCGUGUGUGCUGUGUCCGGUUUUCUCUCUGUUUUGUAGGUUCUUCUCAUUUUUUGUUUCGAUUAUUUUUAUUUGCCUUGAUCUGAGUCCAUCGGGGAGGCUGCCUACAUGUUUUUAUACACUCGUGUUCGCGAAAUCCACCCGUCCAUUCAUUCACCACGAAUACUAUGCUUUUUGUUUGCUCUCUCCACUCAUUUUUCUUUUUUCUUCUGCUCUCUUCAGCUCCGUGAUCUCUUUUCACGUUACUUUUUUUUUUCGUCGCUUCGCUCUCCUUCUCUUUCGCUUGACUUUGCGGGUGCAGGAGUGGAGCUGGGGCACCGGUGCUGUUCUCUCUCUGUCGCUCUCUCGCUGGUCCUGCGUUCUACUCUCUUCAGUUUUUGUGUAGGACUUUCGUCUGUUGUUUUUUGAAACAUGCUUUUUCCGCUUUUUCCGUUUUUUUUUUAUGCAGCCGUUCAUCUUCCUCCAUCCAACCUCAUCCCCGCAUGCCCCUCCCCUUGGCUCGUCUCUCUCUCUCUCUUUCCCUUCGUCGCCCUCAGAUGUCCUGUUCACUUUCUUUUCCGUCUUCCACAGAGACCUGCUGCAUGUGUUCUCCGCGGAAUGAGCGGCGGCACGCACACGCCGAAUGAAGAAUGAAAAUGUACGCCAGACGAUGGUGAUGUGGCAGUGAGAGAGAGAAAAAGAGAGACUGGGGGGAGGAGAAGGAGCGGGGACAGAAGUGUUAGAAGGUGUGCACGAAUAGAAAAUAUACACACAGUGUGUUACUGUUGUUAUUGCGCGGCUUUUACUCCUUUCUUUUUUUUUGCGUUGUUUUUCGAGUCUCUUUCUUUUUGCGCAUGGGGGUUUCUCGGUGUUGUUCUCGUGCUGUGUUUAACCCUCCCGCCAAUUUUAUUGAUUCCUUUGCUGACCGCUCAUGAUUUCCUCUUCUAUCACUCGCUCGCUGCAUUCACGUUAUCUGUUCUCUGUGCGCGUUAUUUGUUGCUGUCUGCGCGCAUGAGGGCUCUUCGUCGCUUGCUUUGCCUUGAUUUCUUUCCUCAAGCUAGCGCGUGUGAUCUCUCCCCUCCCGAUGGCUUCCCCCGCUUUCUUUAUCUCAUCACAUCGAAUUUUCUUGUUCUUCCUGACUGUGAGGUAGUUUGCUCUGUUGAUCUUGACGCGGAGAUUUUCUCCGGAUCCUUCUUGUACCGCUCCGCAAGAACUCUCCAUCUCACAUAAUUACGUGUGCUUUUCUUUUUUUCGAAAGUUUUGCUUUGUGUUCAGGGAGGUCUACAUCGAUUUACACACACACACACACAAGUUCACGGUCCCUCCCUCCCUGAGCUGGUCCCACGCAGAUAUGCGUUCCUGUGCGCCUCCGAAGAGAGAGAAAAAGACUGUUAUCAUCGUUCAUAAUUACCUAUGUAGCCGCAAAGCAGCGCGCAGCUCGCUGGUAAGUAGAGAUGCACAGCACCACUUCACGCCGUAGCACUCUGGGUCGUACAUGCGUGAAGGCGGAUUGCGAAAGACAGGUGGGCUAACGAGGAACGAGUCAAGAGGAAAUCGAGGCGGUGAGGGGGAAUGGCUUCAAGGACGGCCGGCGCGAAGGGCUCACGCGCGCUUCGCCUCUAGCUCUUUUCACUGUUUGCUUGGCGUCUUCUAUCCACUUCUACCCUUCUUCUGCUUCCGCCGUUUCCCCUUCGUCACCUGUCUGUAGGGAUGUCGCUCUUGUCCCCCCGACCCUCUUAUCCUCCACUUUACCGACUUCCUCUCGUGCUGAUGACUCUUCGCCAUAUCGGACUGAGCGUGAUCGUUGCCUUUCAGCGGCCAGCAUGAUGAAGCGAAGAGGCGAGGACGUGUGCCAAUGGUGGCAGCAAUCGACUAGGUUGUGGUGGUGAUGUGUGUCCAGGCUAGAUGCACGCGCAUCUGGGAGUCUUGCAUGCGAAAGUAUGUGUGACGCCUGCUAAACCAUUUCCAGCCCUGCUUGCCUUCUCAUUUCUACGUACCGCGUUCUCUCUCCAUAUUCGCUUCAAAAUGCCAUCGUUUUACUCUUCACCAUCGCUGUUUCUCUUUCCCCUGUCUAUCGCACCGCGUGCGUUGUCUCGUAGGCUCUCACACCCUUUUCCCAUUUCUUCUUAUGCUUGCUUCCCGUAGAUCGGGGUGCGUGUGUGUGUGUGCCUCCUUUCCCGUCGGAUGCCCCAGUCGAUGCUUUUCGUUUUUUUUUUUUUUCAAAUUUUCGCUUGAUCGAUGGGCGUUUCUCAAGUAUAUGUCGUCCUCCAAUUUACCCACUUCCCCUCUUUGCCUCCGUGGCUGCUCUCUCUCUCGCGGACGCUGAUGUCUAAUGAGCUAUCGAGCGAGUCGCCUGGUGAAGGGGAGGGUGUGGCCUUCCACGCAUGCUGCAUUCCCUCGCAUUCUCCUUUCUGGUGUCGCUCUCCCCCUUGGAUUUUUCUCCCCUUUUCCUCUUUUUUACUGCGUCACUCUGCCUUUGCUUUUUUUUUUUUGUGUUGCUGUUUCGUUUGAUUUUCGUUGUUUUCGUUAUCUUUUUUUUACACGUGGCGCGCUGCUCCGUUUUCUAGCCCUUGGCUCCUCCUCUGCUUUUGGGAUGUGUGCCAUCGCACCUUUCCCUAACACCCGCCCACCCACCAAGGCUGUUGUGGGAUGUCAAUGGCUCCAUCGCAUCCAACGAAAGGUGGAGGGGGAUGCCAGGCAAGGGCCAAACCAUGUGGCGAGAGAAAAGGCCGGAUAACCGGCACCAAUGAGGGAAAGGAAAUGACUAGCAUCCACAUACACACAGACACGCAAAGAAAAAGAGGAGUGCAAGCGUUUUUUUGGCUUGACCUCCGAGCCUCAUACGUGCGUAGAUGUGCUCGGAAGAGGACAAGGGCAAUCCUGCAGACUUGUGAAGACAGAGAAGAAAGCAAGUGAAAUAUGAAGCGAAGGGCACCUCUGCUUCUUUUCUUCUUUCUUUGGGAUCUUUUUCGGUGACUGGAAUGGGCAGAAAACAAAGAUGCGGCAGUCCUCGAAAAGGGGGGGGGGAGGAGGAGGAUACUGCCUUUUCGUGUGCUUCUCCCCUUCUUGCUGUCAUUUCUCCGCUGCCUCCUUUCACGUGUCCCUACCGCUGCACCUUCUCGUCCCCUUCACUCAUCCCAACUCUGCAGAUAUGCUCUUUGUAAGCGCUCUUUUUUUUUCCGGCCCUCUCCCCUGCUUCCGGCCUUCGUUGUAGCUCCCUGGUGCUGAUGCGGGGGCACAUUCGAAUUCGUCACAAUUCCUGCAGCAAUGUGUUUGAACGCCUUGCUGGUGCGCUGUUGUUUGGUUUCCACACCUUCGCUUCUCACUCGCACCCUCACGGUUCCCCCAGGUCUCGUUGUUGUUGCGCCUUAUCCGUCACCUCGCCCCUUUUCUUCUUUUUCCUCUUUUCCAGGUGUUCUUGGUUUCCGUUUUUUUUUCGUUUUUUUUUUUCCUACCUCGUUAGCUCGGCUUUGGGAUGCUUUGAUUCUUUUUAUCGUAGAUGCUCUUCUGGAUGUUGCACGUGACUUCUUUCGUUGUGGCCCCUUGCUCUGCGUCUGCGGUGCGCGCGUGCUCCUCCUCCCGUCCUCCUUUUCUCUUUUCCUUGCUUUGCGUAGUUUCGCCCUUGCUCCUUUGUGUUCAGCCAUUUGUGUAUGUAUCUGCGCGUUUUCUUUUUUGUUCCUUUCCUCUCUUGCUGCGUGUGCGUGCGUGUUACUGCCGUCUUUCUUUUCUGCCCUCUCUCCUGUGGUGUGCGUGCUUGUUUUUGCUUGUUUGGCCAGUUCUAGCCGCCAUUGUGUCUUCCCUUUUUCGUUUCAUUUCGCCCCUUCCCUCCCCCGUCUUUCCGCUGUGUGUGUGUGUGUGCGUGCGUCCUCCAAGAGCACGCGUUCCUUCCCUUUUCUGCCUCUUUUUUUUUCUUUGUUAUUCACUGGUUUGAUUUGUACCACUAACCCCAAAGGCGAAGAAAAACUUGUUCGCGUUUUUUUUUUUCGCAGAGUGGCAGUGGUGUGCCGUGCUGUUUUCGAUUCGCCCCCUUCUCCCCCCUCCCCCUCUUUCUAUUGUUCUCUUCUGCGUCUUUAUUGCUCUUCCGCCUUUCCACUUUAUCCGCUGACCCUCCCUCCCUAUCUUCUUAUCGGCUCACCCGCACGUGUUUAUCAAGCCACUUCGAUGUGUUGGCUCGCCCCCCUCCCCCUCCCCACCCCAACACCCCCAUCUCCACUUUUUUCUCCCCUUCCUUUGCCUCUCGGUCACCUCCCUUCCUUUCCUUUCCCGUUUCGCUCUACUCUCUCUCGCGUGCUAAGGAUUGCUCUCUCUCUCUGGGCGCAUCUUCUAUUUUGUCUUCCGUGUAUUUUGCGUGCACGCUUUCACAGGUGACCGUGCCGUCCCCCUUCUUUAUAUAUAUUACGCUGCCUGUGCUACUCAGGCCCUCUAGGUACAAGGCGUGCCUACUCACGUGCGUCAUUCGGCUUUAAAGGUAUGUUAGACGGAGGAGCAGUAGGAGGGUUCACGAUGGCGAUGCUGCUGGGGGGGAAGAAGGCGAGUCUUUUUUCCCCUUCUCUUGCUUGGUGUCUCCACGUGUGUAACUGUGCGCGUUUUGCUUUUUCCGAGUCUCUAUUUGCUUCUCUCUCUUAUUCUCACUUGCUUUUUCUUGCAUGCUCUCGCCAUCAUCGUCGGCCCUCUUCUCCUAUCUUUUUUAUUUCGUCCGUCUUCGUUGGCCGCCUUGUCACACGUCUGUGGCUGACAACGAUGCCCUCCCCCUUCCCCGCCACGCUCGAAAGUCGCUCUUCCUCUAUGUGCGUGUGUGUGGCCGUGCGCAACGUACGAGCGCCUACUCCUUCGUGUUCUUUUCCCGCUUUUUCUGCUUCUCUUUACCCUCUUCUGUUGGCUAGAGUUGGUGCGUUCGGCUUUCAUGCAGAGUGUUGGUUGAGACCAGCACCUACUUCACACCGCGUGCGAUCAGGCAAUUUAGAGCGGCUGCGCUCUCGAGACGUUGAUCGAGAUGACAGGCACGUGGUGGAUUCUACGAGGAAAGCGAAAGAGCUGCUAUAUUCUGUACAGCGAGAACACGACCGGCGCAUCUCACUCAGAGCACUGGGGAGCGUCGUUCAAUGAUGAGGAUCCCGAAAAAGAAGGCAGGCAAGAAAGGGCAAGGUUAGAGAGACACAAAGCGGAAAUUGCGAUGAGGGUGCCGAUGCCGGGGUCAACUCUAUUUUUUUUUUGAUAUUUCAGCUGCCUCCUCUGGCAUUGAUUCUUCUUUUUUUUUCCUGUUCCCUACUCCGCCCCCAAACCUUGCCGCUUGUGCAUUGCUUCGCGCCACCUUGCCGUCUUUUCCGCCAUCCAGCUCCAUAUCUUUCCGCCUCCACGCGCGCUCUGUGGUGCAGCUCGGACUCUCUACGUGUUUAUGUGGUGGCGCGCCAGCAAUAAGAGAGAAGGAUGCGGAGGGGGCCUGGGCGGGAGGAGAGCAGCGCAGGAGAACAUCAUCUGUGCAGACGGUAGCAGCUGGCAAGUGGUCCGUACGCGAGUCGCUAUUGUCGCGGCGGUGGGUGAGUCGAAGGGUAGGGCAUGAGGGGUGAAGUCGUGGUGGGGGACGGCACUCGAAAAGUGAAAUGAUGCGCACUGCGUAUGCACUUCUCUUUAGGGGAAAAAACAUGCCUUCAACGGGAGAGCGAGGCGGUUUGGGUGCUGGGCUCCCUCCCCUUGACCACCUUCAUCUUCUGUUUUGAGACCUUUAUUGAAAGCGUUCCGUCGCGCUUGCUCGCGUGAGAGGACAAACUCAUAAAGCGAUUGCCCCAAGUCCUUCUUUCUGGGACAUGAACUACGUGGUGUUUUCCUUUUUUUUUCGUUGUUGUUUUUCAUGUUAUCUUUGCGCUGCUGCGGCGUUGAUUCACUGGCCAUAAUGGGAGCCGCGCCAGCAGCGUUACGGCAAAAGCAUCUCCUCGUCAUCCCAGCGCCAUCGCUGUUCUCCAUCUCUGCGGGACAGAGAGCGCAUAACACAGACACAAACCGACCGGCACACAGGUGCGCGUGGUCUAAAGCAAAAGGAAAGAAAAAGAUUGUGUAAUACUUGCACAGUUCUGCGAUGAUUCCUUUUUCCUUUGAUUGCCGGUGUUGUCGCGAUUUUCUUUUUGACCGUUGCUUUCCAAGUUUUUUUUUUUCAUGUUUUUUGUGUGCUCACCUCUUCAACCUCGUGCGCCUCCGUGACUCGCCACCAGCACCACCACGAUCACCACGCAUUCUUUGUUCGCCUCUUUCUAUACUCUCCACUUCCCCCCCCCCCGUUUUCUCUGCCAGCUGCACCCCCACCCACGGUGGUUCUCCUCACCCUGGAUUAUAGCGAAAGGCAAGCCACCAAGACUGAACGAACAAAAGGAAGAAAACCCACAAAAAAAAGAAAUGGAGAAGGCGUGUGCGUGCCCGGGUGUAUCUGCGUGUUUGUCGACCGUCUUUCAAAGCACUCGCAUUUUUCUUUUUUUCCUCUUGGUUGUGUGGCGUGUGCUCAUCUGCGAAUCUCCGUGUGAUUGCAUGCUUGCAUGUGCGUGUGUGUGCUUCGUGCACAUCUUGCGUGUUUUUUUUCGAUUGCUAUUAUCGCGUAUGUACCCUUCCCUCCCCAUGUCGCUUCCAUGACGUCUGUUCGUUGUCGACUCUUUCAAUCUUUUCUGUCUUGUUCUUUUGACUCUGUGCCCCCCGCCCUCCUACCCCUCCUGCGACCUAUCCUUCUUGCGCCUUGACUCAUCACUCUUCUUCAGCGACCGCUGUGCCUCACCCGCUUUCUGGGUGUGCAUGGCUGUCGAGCAGACAGCCGUGUCCCCUACAUCGCCACACAAGAUACAAAAAAAACACUCUGAAACAGCGAUGGAAACCAGCGUGUGCCCGCGAAGAGAGUACAUGAGCACAGGUGUACUGUGGAGGUUCUCGGCCUUGUUUGAUGGCUUUUGUGUGCCUUGAGAGGCGAACCUACGCAGUGAGUCGAAUGGUAUCUAGAGCGUUUUUUUUUACAUGUGCAGUUGGAUGCCAAACUGCUACACUCAGGUGGGUGCCAUUAGGGGAGGAGGAGGAACGAGCAUGAGCCCAGUAGAAGCCACAUACACACAUGUCCGUGCACAGGCUCCCCUUUCUUCUCCAGAGCAGGCCGACAGGGAGAGAGAGAGAGACGGCGAUCCUCCAACAUCAAGGGCAUGAGAGGCACCGUGGUCAAUACCCGCACACUCUACUGGAUUUUUUUUCUCUUCUUUACGUUUCGCUUUGCCGCACCUCGUCUGCUGCUUUCGGUUUUUGUUUCUUCUUUAUCUUCUCUGAGGACGCCCGGCACCUCCCCGUGGCAUCACAGGGCCCAGCGACCACACUCUCUGUGGAACCCGUGAGCCUGCAGCCUGCCCUUGGGGGCACGGAGGCGGGCGCUUGGUGUCGGCGGACAGGCCUGAGCUGGCGCUGUGCCGAGGGGACCUGCGGGCCGUGAUGCGGGUUGGACGAGGCCACAGCGGAUGGCGUCUGCGAUGCAACAAGUGUGCGCGCGCCGCUGGCCCGUCGCGUGCGCCCGCCAUUUCAGUACGUCUUUGGUCGUUGUGAAUGGGGGCACAACGGCACGGUGGACGGGCUUGCAAGAUCGGGCGUGCCAGAGGAGCGGACGGCGGCUGCACGAGCUGCGGAUUUGGCCACUGCUCUGAGGCGCCAGGCCGACAUCCCCCGCAGCCGUGGUACGCGCGCUGCGACAAGAGCACGUUGGCGGCAGCUGCCCCACCCCAGAGGAGCAAGGAUGCUGCGCUUGCGGGACGGCAGGGGACGAUCCUGGCGCAGCUGCGCGCGGGCGUCUGUCCUUGCUGCAGAUUCGUUCAGCGGCGGGCGGCUUGCAGCGGCAGGGAGGAGCGCCGGCGGCGUGCUGGCUAACUGCUCCGCUGGCGGUGUGAUACCGCACGCCCGCCUGCUUUUGGUGUGAGGGCGUGCGCUCCGGCGCUGUGCCCGGUGUGCCACGCGCGGUUCCGCGGAUCGCUGGAGGCUCGAGGCAGACUGCACAUCGGGCUUGAUGGUGCACGCAAUGGUGCGGCCGCGCACGUCUCACUCGCGCAGCAUGGGCCUCCCCCGUCGGGUGUCUGCGGCUGCUCCCUGUGCCCCUUCAGGGCGGCCGUGCGGAAGCUCUUUGUGCGCUGGCGCGUGAUUGUCCGCGUGCCCCUUCCACUUGCCACACACACCCGCUCCUGUCACGCGCGUGCGGAUUGAGGAGGUGGAGCGCCCCUGCCGGCACAGACUCGUAGCCGCGCCGACACGCCUCCUCCCUCUCCUCCCUCUCCUCCCGCUCCUCUCUCCCCUCGCAUGGCAUCGACGGGAAACUGCAGAUGAGGGCAGCGAGCCACCCCCCUUCCCCCCCCUCCCUCCCCCCGUGCACACAGUGGAUGCGUGCGAAGUGUGCGGCCUCUCCCCCAUGCGGCCGGGCGGGUGCGAUGAGGCACGACGAGAGCGCCGCGAAUGGCGGCGUCGAGCCCUCCCGACUGCGGUGUGACGGGUGCCCACACCACCUUGUGUGAUGCCGCGGCUGGAAGCGACUGAGAGGGCGCAGCACGUGUGCGAAGGAAGGGACGAGGAAGGACAGGAGGAGCCUGCCUAGACGCGUGGCCCCGAUCCGGCGGCUGGACGCUGCGCCCUCGAGGACCCGGAUGUAGUCGCGGCGCCACAGGAGGUGGGUGCGCUGCGGUUGGAUGCGUAUACGUUUUCUGACUUGGUCGUGUUCGAAAAUUCCCUUGACUACGAAAGUGUUGUGGUGCUCUUCAUUCUUUGGUGUUGAGUCAGGUGCUCAGCUGAGCAGACGAGUAGCGGACGUUGGCAGACAGAUUGUGACAAAAAAGUAUCUACCCACGUCUCUGUGGGACUGCUUUACGUGACGCGAGAGCUGGUGGAGCGUUGCACGUUGUAGAGCAGCGCCGUAGUUGGAGGAGACAAAGCAGGGAAAUGACGCCAACCGAAAAAAAAAACAGUGGAAAAGAAGGAAAGGAACGACAUUAUAUGCGUACACCGGCGUGCACACAAGUAAGGAGGCGCUCACUCGUGGGCCGUUUCGAUAAAGCAAAAAGGGGGCGAAAGGUAGGAGUGAACCGAGAACGGCUGUUCUGGAAGCGUAGAGAAGGGAUAUUUAUAUGUAUAUCUACAUGUAUACGCUCAUGUGUGUGUGUAUGGUUGUAUUUCUACGAAAAUGCGUGAGGAGGAACGAGCAAGUGCUACUGCGGCAGAGAGGGCGUAUGAAUUGAAUGGCGUGUACUAUUACUACUACUUCGACUGUACGAUUGCGUGAACGACAUCUGCGUAUUGUUUUGAGCGUGUGUGUGUGUUGGUGCCUGCAUUUGACCGUCUCUCUCUCUGCGUGUCUGUUUAGCGUGCCCAUCCCUCCCCUUCUGUCUUUCCAUCCCUCCGCUUUAUUGGUUACGUGGCUGAAGCCAUGACGAAGAUCACGUUACAACAAGCUAGAAAAAAGAGAGAAAAUGGCGAAAACGUUGAACGGGGCAGUCGGCACAGAGAAGAAAGGCAGCUGGUAACGAUGGGGGCGAUGGGGGGCCUGGGGUGAUGUUAAUCGACCACUGUAGUGCCGCCGUGUGCCUCGCUUCUUGCGUUCUGCGUCUCUCUCCACUGCCCGCGCCUCGCUUCUGUCGGCGAUAGAGGUAAUCCGUUUACGGUGAAGGGACUGCAGCGGCGCAUCUCUGUUUGAUGCUCGACUGCUUUGUUCGUUCACUGCGUUAUGUGGAAGAGCGGCAAGCAGAGGGAAUGUGUGAUGUGAUAUUGAGGAGACCAUUAAAGCAGCGUUCUCUUCUAUUCGUCUUUCAAAUUCGAGAUGGCGGAAUUUCAUCCCUCGCACCCCUACGCCCAACUCUCACGUACAUGUGUGCGGCAUGCUGUUCUUUAAAAAAAAAUCCAUCUCUGAUGCUCUUUUACUCCACCUCUCUGCUUGUCUGCUGGUCAUUCCUUACGCUUUCGUCUCACACCUAUCGUGCAUCCGAAUCUGCGGCGCUGUACGCACCCCACCUCUCUCCUUACCCUUCCCUAUCUGCACCUCGUCAAAUUCCCUUUACCACACCUGAACACACACACACACACACACACAACUCGAAAAG